This 274-nucleotide ribosomal RNA is filed under the name uncultured bacterium. Its description in RNAcentral is "partial 16S ribosomal RNA". It matches the Rfam family "Bacterial small subunit ribosomal RNA", at positions 84 to 354 of the family's 1533-position model. The record is from RNAcentral.
CCCGCCGGCGACCGGCGCACGGGUGAGUAACACGUAUGAAACCUGCCCGUAGCGAGGGGAUAAGCGGAAGAAAUUCCGUCUAAUACCGCGUAACAACCCGAGGAGGCAUCUCCUCGGGUUUAAAGGAAGCGAUUCCGGCUACGGAUGGUCAUGCGUCGCAUUAGCUAGUUGGCGGGGUAACGGCCCACCAAGGCGACGAUGCGUAGGGGUUCUGAGAGGAAGGUCCCCCACACUGGUACUGAGACACGGACCAGACUCCUACGGGAGGCAGCAG